This 3988-nucleotide small RNA is filed under the name Vigna angularis var. angularis. RNAcentral's name for it is "Non-protein coding transcript". The record is from RNAcentral. Lineage: Eukaryota; Viridiplantae; Streptophyta; Magnoliopsida; Fabales; Fabaceae.
UCAAAACCGUCCCUGAUCACCUAAAUAUUUUCCCAAGUUCCCUCCCUCCCGCUCCUUCAUUCCCUUUUUUUCUCUUAGCAUCUAAUCUAAUAUUUCUAAAGCCCUAGUUGCACCUUCAUCCCUUUUUCUCUAGCUCUGGAUCUAGUCUAAUUUUUUCGCAAGUCGUAUUCGUUCCUCGCACCACAUCGUCUGUGGGCUUCACUUCACGGGUUUCUCUCCUUUAAAUUCCUAACUAUUUUGCCUUCAUCUCCUUCAAAUCCCUCUUUCAUUCAUCUUCCGAAAAUGCAGAAAACAGUUUGAAAACCUCGCCAGAAUGAAAAAGGGUCACGAAGGAAAGUUCUCUGUUUAUGUGGAUGCAUCCAAGACAAAACCAAUUCAUGGUAUGAAGCAUUUGAAAGGAUGGCUUUUUAUAGAGUGGCUUCGAACUUGGUGAAUUACCUUACAAGCCAAAUAUUUGUUUCUAGUAUUAGAAGAAACGUGAAAGUGAUGGAAUAAGGUAGUUGAUGUGGCUGUCGUAGUCCAUACAAAUUUGAUGUGCAUUAAAAAUGUAGUAUAGUGCUAGGAAGUGACUCUUAGGUUGUCUCUCAAGGAUCAAAUGUGGUUCGAGACUUAGGUCAAACACGUAGUGAGGGGGGUUGAAAGUGUUUUUGUAAGGAAAAUUAAAUUAAAUUAAAAUUAGAAAUUAAAGACAACGUAACAUAAUUAAAAGCGAUGAUAGAAAUCUGCAAAACAUAAAUACCGAAUGGUCUUAUAGUAAACCGAACGGUCUUAACAUUGAGACCAAACGGUCUCUAAAUCAAUGAAAUAGAAAUGAGCAAAACACGAAAGUCGAACGGUAACGUAAGAAAAUGAUGAAGGGGGUCGUUUGGUCUCUGACAGACCGAACGGUAUUACAAUGUAAAAUACAAGCUAAAGGAAACAAACAAGACAAGCUGAACGAUAAUAAAGCAAGACAAUGGAAAUGAAUUGAAAACUAAACAACUGAAUGCAGAAAAAGCCGAACGGUCUCUAACAUUGAAGCAUGUUAGAGACCGAACGAUAUUAAUUUUACACCGAACGGUCUAAAUGAAGAAGCUCAAAACGUUGCAGAAAUGAAGCAGAAAACGCGAUGAACAGUAAAUUAAACUAGUAGAACUGGAAUGAACAUGUAGAGCUAGAACGAAGCAAAACGAACUUCUAAACACAACUAGAAAAUGUAAAUCAAAACAUAAACAGAGGCUGCAAUGAAAAUAAGCUGGGAAACAUAAAUGGGCAAAGUUGAAAAACAUGAAAUGGAAAGCUAAAAUCUGUAAGAAUUAAAAUGCACAAUUGGAAAUAAGCAAUGGAACUAGAUGAAACGAAACAACAUGAAAUGAAAAACGUAAAGUGGAAAUUGCAAUUAAAAACAGAGGAGAUUCAAUACAUGAAGAUAAAAAUGAAAAGAAAGCAAAACCUCCCCAAAGGGGGAGGAGAAAAAAGAUGUUCCCUAGAAAACGUAAGUGGCAACGGGAAGACUUCUAGAGAAUUCUGCUUUUAGGUUUUUUAUAUAACCAAAAGACCAAAAAUGCCCUCCUAAUGGGCUUGUCCUACAAAAUGACCUACAAUUGGGCCCAAAGUCCUAAAGUUUGACCCAAUGACCUUCCAAAACGCUACACUAUUGACGUGCCCAUCCUCUUGAAGUCUCAGAAUGUGCAUCCAACACUGCUGUUUUUCCUCUUGUUACUGCAUUUGAUUGUUCAGUGCUUAAGGCUCAGAUUGCUCGGUCAUUCAGCAAUGCUCUAUAGGCUCGCUCUGUACUAUGCAGUCUUGACAUGACCGUUCGAUCAUCCACUCUCAGACAACAGGUUUUUUUUGUUCGGUUCAUUAGUGUUCGAUCAUUCAGUGGUAUGAAGCAUUUGAAAGGAUGGCCUUUUAUAGAGUGGCUUCGAACUUGGUGAAUUACCUUACAUGCCAAAUAUUUGUUUCUAGUAUUAGAAGAAACGUGAAAGUGAUGGAAUGAAUAAGGUAGUUGAUGUGGCUGUCGCAGUCCAUACAAAUUUGAUGUGCAUUAAAAAUGCAGUAUAGUGCUAGGAAGUGACUCUUAGGUUGUCUCUCAAGGACCAAAUGUGGUUCAAGACUUAGGUCAAACACGUAGUGAGGGGGGGUUGAAAGUGUUUUUGUAAGGAAAAUUAAAUUAAAUUAAAAUUAGAAAUUAAAGACAACCUAACAUAAUUAAAAGCAAUGAUAGAAAUCUGCAAAACAUAAAUAUCGAAUGGUCUUAUAGUAAAUCGAACGGUCUUAACUUUGAGACCGAACGAUCUCUAAAUCAACGAAAUAGAAAUGAACAAAACACGAAAGUCGAACGGUAACGUAAGAAAAUGAUAAAGGGGGUCGUUCAGUCUCUAAUAGACCGAACGAUAUUACAGUGUAAAAGCAUACAAGCUAAAGGAAACAAACAAGACAAGUCGAUCGGUAAUAAAGCAAGACAAUGAAAAUGAAUUGAAAACUAAACAACUGAAUGCAGAAAAAGUCGAACGGUCUCUAACAAUGAAGCAUGUUAGAGACUGAACGAUAUUAAUUUUACACCGAACGGUCUAAAUGAAGAAGCUCAAAACGUUGCAAAAAUGAAGCAGAAAACGCGAUGAACAGUAAAUUAAACUAGUAGAACUGGAAUGAACAUGUAGAGCUAGAACGAAGCAAAACGAACUUCUAAACACAACUAGAAAAUGUAAAUCAAAACAUAAACAGAGGCUGCAAUGAAAAUAAGCUGGGAAACAUAAAUUGGCAAAGUUGAAAAACAUGAAAUGGAAAGCUAAAAUCUGACAGAAUUAAAAUGCACAAUUGGAAAUAAGCAAUGGAACUAGAUGAAACGAAACAACAUGAAAUGAAAAACGUAAAGUGGAAAUUGCAAUUAAAAACAGAGGAGAUUCAAUACAUGAAGAUAAAAAUGAAAAGAAAGCAAAACCUCCCCAAAGGGGGAGGAGAAAAAAGAUGUUCCCUAGAAAACGUAAGUGGCAACGGGAAGACUUCCAGAGAAUUCUGCUUUUAGGUUUUUUAUAUAACCAAAAGACCAAAAAUGCCUUCCUAAUGGGCUUGUCCUACAAAAUGACCUACAAUUGGGCCUAAAGUCCUAAAGUUUGACACAAUGACCUUCCAAAACGCUACACUAUUGACGUGCCCAUCCUCUUGAAGUCUCAGAAUGUGCAUCCAACACUGCUGUUGUUCCUCUAGUUACUGCAUUUGACAUUUGGUGCUUAAGGCUCAGAUCGCUCGGUCAUUCAGCAAUGCUCUACAGGCUCGCUCUGUACUAUGCAGUCUUCACAUGACCGUUCGAUCAUCCACUCUUAGACAACAGGUUUUUUCCGUUCGGUUCAUUAGUGUUCGACCAUUCAGUGUAAGCUUUCACAGACCGUUUGGUAUAUGCGUCCACAGACCGUUCGGUUCUAUGAUGCUCGGCCAUUUUGUUCAACAGUGCUCAACUGGUAGCUGACCGUUCGGUGGAGGCUUCCAACAAGGCUUUCUCAACUCGUUUGGUGCAGACUUUGACAGGUUGUUUAGUCACAUCUUUGACAGACUGUUCGGUCAAGACUGUGGUCAGACCGUUCAGUCAUGCAGACCCUAACCGUUCGAUUCUGGUAGUGUCAGACCGUACAACUCUGUGCAUUACGUUCAAACCUUUUCUCAACUCUUUAAAAGUGAUUGUCCUGCAAUUUAUAAUUGAAAUAAUUAAGUCCAAAUAAUUCAAAUUAAUUAAAAUAAGAAUUAGUCUUGAAAUUAAGUUCAAAUAGUGAAAGUGAAAUAAAAAUGGACAAUUACACACAACACUAAGUAUAUAAUGAAGAAUUAUGACUCAUCAAUAGUCCCCUAUUAUUAUUAUUAUUGUCUGUGCACGGAAGAUUAUAAAGUCCAGCUACAGAGAAACAUAUAUACAUAUAUUUAAGAUAUGGACAUAUUUUUUUGUUAGUUUUUUACAUUGUCAUUCAAACCAGUUCUGUCUGUAAUUUUAUAAGUCAUGAUAACAAGAGCUGAU